This 760-nucleotide ribosomal RNA is filed under the name uncultured bacterium. Its description in RNAcentral is "bacterial SSU rRNA". It matches the Rfam family "Bacterial small subunit ribosomal RNA", at positions 59 to 835 of the family's 1533-position model. The record is from RNAcentral.
CAGUCGAACGAUGAAGUCCUAGCUUGCUAGGAUGGAUUAGUGGCGCACGGGUGAGUAAUAUAUAGUUAAUCUGCCCUACACAGAGGAACAACAGUUGGAAACGGCUGCUAAUACCUCAUACUCCUAUUUAACAUAAGUUAAAUAGGGAAAGUCUUUUCGGUGUAGGAUGAGACUAUAUCGUAUCAGCUAGUUGGUAAGGUAAUGGCUUACCAAGGCUAUGACGCGUAACUGGUCUGAGAGGAUGAUCAGUCACAUUGGAACUGAGACACGGUCCAAACUCCUACGGGAGGCAGCAGUAAGGAAUAUUGCGCAAUGGGGGAAACCCUGACGCAGCAACGCCGCGUGGAGGAUGACACUUUUCGGAGCGUAAACUCCUUUUAUCAGGAAAGAAUAAUGACGGUACCUGAUGAAUAAGCACCGGCUAACUCCGUGCCAGCAGCCGCGGUAAUACGGGGGGUGCAAGCGUUACUCGGAAUCACUGGGCGUAAAGGACGCGUAGGCGGAUUAUCAAGUCUUUUGUGAAAUCUAGUGGCUUAACCACUAAACUGCUUAGGAAACUGAUAGUCUAGAGUAGGGGAGAGGUAGAUGGAAUUCUUGGUGUAGGGGUAAAAUCCGUAGAGAUCAAGAAGAAUACCCAUUGCGAAAGCGAUCUGCUGGAACCUAACUGACGCUGAGGCGUGAAAGCGUGGGUAGCAAACAGGAUUAGAUACCCUGGUAGUCCACGCCCUAAACGAUGUAUACUAGUUGUUGCUUUGCUAGU